RNAcentral lists this ribosomal RNA (413 nucleotides) under uncultured prokaryote. Its description in RNAcentral is "bacterial SSU rRNA". It matches the Rfam family "Bacterial small subunit ribosomal RNA", at positions 505 to 918 of the family's 1533-position model. The record is from RNAcentral.
GUGUCAGCCGCCGCGGUAAGACAGAGGUGGCAAGCGUUGUUCGGAUUUACUGGGCUUAAAGGGCGUGUAGGCGUCCUGAUAAGUCAGGUGUGGAAUCCCUGGGCUCAACCCAGGAAUUGCACUUGAAACUGUCAGGAUUGAGUCAUGCAUAGGAGGGCGGAAUUCCUGGUGUAGCGGUGAAAUGCGUAGAUAUCAGGAGGAAGGCCUGUGGCGAAGGCGGCCCUCUGGGCAAUGACUGACGCUGAGGCGCGAAAGCGUGGGGAGCAAACAGGAUUAGAUACCCUGGUAGUCCACGCCCUAAACGGUGGGUACUCGGUGUGGGUGACAAUAGUCAUCUGUGCCCAAGGGAAACCGUUAAGUACCCCGCCUGGGGAGUACGGUCGCAAGGCUGAAACUCAAAUGAAUUGACGGGG